This 936-nucleotide ribosomal RNA is filed under the name Titiscania limacina. RNAcentral describes it as "partial 12S ribosomal RNA". The stretch from base 7 to 235 matches the Rfam family "Bacterial large subunit ribosomal RNA", at positions 44 to 475 of the family's 2925-position model. Lineage: Eukaryota; Metazoa; Mollusca; Gastropoda; Cycloneritida; Neritopsidae. The record is from RNAcentral.
GAUCACAGGCGAUGAAGGACGUAGUAGCCUGCGAAAAGCUGCGGGGAGCUNGCANACNANCUUUGAUCCGCAGAUGUCCGAAUGGGGAAACCCGGCCCGUAUGGGUCAUCUGUUACUGAAUACAUAGGUAACAGAAGCGAACGCAGUGAACUGANACAUCUAAGUAGCUGCAGGAACAGAAAUCAACCGAGAUUCCCAAAGUAGUGGCGAGCGAAAUGGGAUCAGCCUUGUACUCUUUAGCAGUANUGUUAGCAGAACGGAANNUGCCAGCANCCGCGGUUACACGAAUGGGUCGAGUUACGAAAAUAUCGGUAUAAAAGGUGGUUAAGCAUAUAUACGCAUUAGAGUAUAAGAAGGAACAUAUGGGCUAACUCUAUGGGUAAAAUUUGUACGUUAGUUCUUUAACCGCAGGCUCCUAUACAAGCUGAAGCCGCGAAACUGUUGACUGAAACCAGGAUUAGAUACCCUGUUAUCAACAGAGUAAAUAAGAUUUUUAGUUUACCAGGGAAUUAUGAGCAUUAAACUUAAAACUCAAAGAACUUGGCGGUACUCUGGAUCCGGCUAGGGGAACCUGUCCCGUAAUCGACAAUCCGCGCAGUACCUUACCCUUUUUAGUAUAAUUCAGUCUGUAUACCGUCGUUGACAGGCAACCCCCUGAGGGAGGAGACGUUGGCUAGAGGGGUAAAAAUAUUCCGGGACAUCAGAUCAAGGUGCAGCUUAUAAGAGGGUGGAGAUGGGUUACAAUUUGUGAUUUAAAAAUAUGAAUGCCUAGUUGAAACACUAGGUUGAAGGCGGACUUAGAAGUAAUAUGGCUAGUGAUAAUGAGAUUGUGAAUCGGGACUUGGAGUGUGCUCAAAUCGCCCGUCGCUCUCGUUGAAAAAUGAGAUAAGUCGUAACAUAGUAAGGGUAAUGGAAAUUGCUCUUGACUGAGGGUUG